AGAGUUCGAUUCUGGCUCAGGACGAACGCUGGCGGCGUGCCUAACACAUGCAAGUCGAACGGAGAUUAGUGAGCUUGCUUGCUAAUCUUAGUGGCGGACGGGUGAGUAACGCGUGAGCAACCUGCCUUUCAGAGGGGGACAACAGUUGGAAACGACUGCUAAUACCGCAUGAAAUUAUUGGACCGCAUGGUUUGAUAAUCAAAGGAGCAAUCCGCUGAAAGAUGGGCUCGCGUCCGAUUAGAUAGUUGGUGAGGUAACGGCUCACCAAGUCGACGAUCGGUAGCCGGACUGAGAGGUUGAACGGCCACAUUGGGACUGAGACACGGCCCAG
Molecule: ribosomal RNA, 331 nt
Filed under: uncultured bacterium
Lineage: Bacteria
Description: bacterial SSU rRNA
Rfam family: Bacterial small subunit ribosomal RNA
Source: RNAcentral